This 74-nucleotide transfer RNA is filed under the name Lichtheimia ramosa. Its description in RNAcentral is "tRNA-Lys (CTT) (tRNA-Lys-CTT-1 1 to 8)". It matches the Rfam family "tRNA". From Rfam's summary of the family: Transfer RNA (tRNA) molecules are approximately 80 nucleotides in length. Their secondary structure includes four short double-helical elements and three loops (D, anti-codon, and T loops). Further hydrogen bonds mediate the characteristic L-shaped molecular structure. tRNAs have two regions of fundamental functional importance: the anti-codon, which is responsible for specific mRNA codon recognition, and the 3' end, to which the tRNAs corresponding amino acid is attached (by aminoacyl-tRNA synthetases). tRNAs cope with the degeneracy of the genetic code in two manners: having more than one tRNA (with a specific anti-codon) for a particular amino acid; and 'wobble' base-pairing, i.e. permitting non-standard base-pairing at the 3rd anti-codon position. Lineage: Eukaryota; Fungi; Mucoromycota; Mucoromycetes; Mucorales; Lichtheimiaceae. The record is from RNAcentral.
GCCUUGCUAGCUCAAUUGGUUAGAGCGUGAGACUCUUAAUCUCAAGGCUGGGGGUUCGAGUCCCCCGUAGGGCU